GAUUUGGCUGUUGUGGUGUGCAAAACUUUGUACCUCGUUUUUUGCCACACUGCAACACUUUACAGA
This 66-nucleotide microRNA precursor is filed under the name Erithacus rubecula (European robin). Its description in RNAcentral is "mir-3064 microRNA precursor family". It matches the Rfam family "mir-3064 microRNA precursor family". RNAcentral also lists the same sequence under 12 other names. Lineage: Eukaryota; Metazoa; Chordata; Aves; Passeriformes; Muscicapidae. The record is from Rfam by way of RNAcentral.